This 1584-nucleotide long non-coding RNA is filed under the name Homo sapiens (human). Its description in RNAcentral is "HSALNT0364059". Lineage: Eukaryota; Metazoa; Chordata; Mammalia; Primates; Hominidae. The record is from RNAcentral.
ACUUCUGGCCUUAAGUGAUCCUCCUGCCUUGGCCUCCCAAAGUGUGGGAUUACAGGCAUGAGCCACUGUGUCUGGCUGAAAUUGGAAUUCUAAAGAAUCAAAUUUUGCCCCAAUUUGCUGUGCUGCCUGUGCUUGGAAUAAACAUUUUGCAGCCAUACAGAAAUCAGAAGAUUUAUUGAGAAUACGGUACAUGCUCCUAGUGGGUAGAGAGGAAUCAGACAUAGCUCCCGCCGUCAAGGAGAUCUGAGUUUCAUGAUGAAGAUACAAAAAUGAAAAUGACUAUGUGUGGAAUGUGCUAAUAGUGAUAUGAGCAGGGCAAGCUCAAGGCACGAGGGAAGGUCAAAGGAAGCUUAUGAAAGAAAGAGAUUCUUCGGCAGUGUUAAGCAAACAUCCAUGACACAGAUACUGCUGAAAAGUGACCUGUAUCCAGCUGAGGAGCACUGGUUGUACAUUUGUGUUUGGUGCUGACAGAAGAGUCUACGCUACUAAGAAUAUUAAGUUAUCAUCUGGCCUCUGGAUUGAGGAGGUAGCAUUAUAUAAGUAAAUGGAGGGUCAGAGACACUGUUGGUUACCCAAGAUCGUAUUCCAGAUCACUGGUGAAGCCUGUUAGCAACUCCAAGCAUUUGAGCUAGGAUCUGCUACUUCUCAACACUAGGCUACAGACAUUCUCAGCAGUUAUCAUCUUACUGGGCUUAACAAUAAUGUACAAGGAACAUAACUGCAAAGUGGGCUACUGUGUCUCACAAGAUGAGAACAAAGGAAGUGCUGGAAGAGUUUCAAGUCUGGCUGCAGAAAGCUGGAAAGAUGACAGUCUACUUGGGAAAAUGAUACAAAAUGUCUGAAAAUUUAAGCAACUGCUCAAGACUCCUGUCUUAUGAGGGAAAGGAGGCGGGCUCCCUCACAAGACAUUAAGGCUGCCUGUGAGGGCUGUCACCAGUAGUGUUACUAAGUUAAGAUCCUAAUGUACAGUGUGGACACAUGAGUGUUUCUCUUUCUUUUACAAAUGCUGCUAAAGAACAUGCCCAUAGAGGAUAUUUGCAACACCUUAUAAACUAAACCUGACAAUAGGAAAGACCAUACAAAAAGUAUGUACCUUUUAACUUUUUUCCCUUAAGAAAGAAGUUCUAGGUAAGGUAAUCAGGUAAGAAAUUAUUCAAAUAAAAUUAGAAAAAUCAAAUAUUGCUCUGGUUAUACAUGUAAAAUAAUUGCAUUUAUUCAUUAAAAUAAUGCAUUGUAUGUAUUGAUCCAUCUAUAAUUUAUGAGGCACUGGGCAACCUAAUCAUGAAUUCACUCAGUCAUUUAUUGUGUCUGUUAUUUCAACCCACAUUAUUGAACUUCUGUUAUGUGCAAAGCUGUGGCCAGGGUGUGGAUUUCUCCAUGGAUAAGACAUAUUCUGUCCUAGAGAGGAGGCUAGAAAAACUACAGUUUAAUGAGCAGAUAUUAGAUGCUCUGUACUAUGCUAAGAAUUUUAUGCACAGUAUUUCAUAUGAAAAUUGUAAUAACUCUGUUAGGCAAGGCUUAUUGUAAUGUUCUUAGAGAUGGUGUAUUAGUCUGUUUUCACAUGGAUAAUAAAGAUAAUGAGAC